AUUGAGUAAUUUUAUAUAUUUUCAACGCUUUGAAUCUAUUAAAAUGCAGUUAAUAAAAUUAUUUUUCCACACAGAUGUUCUGUCUGGAACCUUUGUGUUUGCUCGUUUCUGGUACACCGGUAAAUCUGACGCACAUAAAACACCAAACAACAGCGAUGGACGACAAAGCGGCUCCUCUCGGCCCGCUGAAAAGAAAAGAAAAGAUGUCACCAACCCAGGGAGAUCAGAGCAGUCGCAAACUGAGCCUCCAUUUGGGCUGAUGGCAGGCCUAUUAAAUGCACGCAUCCACAGCGGUUUCUUUCUAGUGAUCUGAAGCAGUGGAAACUGUGAGCCAUAAAACUGUCCACAGAAAGCAGCUUUACUCAGGCUGAACGAUGCAUUUGAUCCCAGAGAGACGAAGGCAAAAAGGUUGCUGCGCUCAGAUUGCUCGAACAUGAGCGGAGAGAUUUAUGGGCCAGAACCGGGAUGUGGACUUCCACAGAAAUGCAGUGAAGUUCCUGACUCAUGAGGGAGACGCUUUGGGAUGUCUGAACGCUGCGUGAACCGCAAAAUUAAAAAAUAAGAAUAAA
Long non-coding RNA from Xiphophorus couchianus (Monterrey platyfish), 569 nucleotides. RefSeq lists it as uncharacterized. The transcript is spliced from 3 exons. NCBI's taxonomy places the organism in Eukaryota, Metazoa, Chordata, Actinopteri, Cyprinodontiformes, Poeciliidae. The record is from RefSeq and is a predicted model, not a curated record.